This 250-nucleotide ribosomal RNA is filed under the name uncultured bacterium. RNAcentral describes it as "partial 16S ribosomal RNA". It matches the Rfam family "Bacterial small subunit ribosomal RNA", at positions 524 to 773 of the family's 1533-position model. The record is from RNAcentral.
UACGUAGGGUGCGAGCGUUAAUCGGAAUUACUGGGCGUAAAGGGUGCGCAGGCGGUCUUGCAAGUCAGAUGUGAAAUCCCCGGGCUUAACCUGGGAACUGCGUUUGUGACUGUGGUGCUCGAGUGCGGCAGAGGGGGGUGGAAUUCCACGUGUAGCAGUGAAAUGCGUAGAGAUGUGGAGGAACACCGAUGGCGAAGGCAGCCCCCUGGGUCGACACUGACGCUCAUGCACGAAAGCGUGGGGAGCAAAC